CGGAUAGAGGCCCGCUGGUUUGGGUGUUUAGCUGUUAACUAAAAUUUUACGGGAUCGAGGCCCGUCUAUCUAG
This 73-nucleotide transfer RNA is filed under the name Plestiodon multivirgatus. Its description in RNAcentral is "tRNA-Asn". The record is from RNAcentral. Lineage: Eukaryota; Metazoa; Chordata; Lepidosauria; Squamata; Scincidae.